RNAcentral lists this ribosomal RNA (253 nucleotides) under uncultured bacterium. Its description in RNAcentral is "partial 16S ribosomal RNA". It matches the Rfam family "Bacterial small subunit ribosomal RNA", at positions 524 to 776 of the family's 1533-position model. The record is from RNAcentral.
UACGGAGGGUGCAAGCGUUAUCCGGAUUCACUGGGUUUAAAGGGUGCGUAGGCGGACAUGUAAGUCAGUGGUGAAAGCCCGGAGCUCAACUCCGGAACUGCCAUUGAUACUGCAGGUCUUGAGUACACUUGAGGUGGGCGGAAUACAUCAUGUAGUGGUGAAAUACUUAGAUAUGAUGUAGAACACCGAUUGCGAAGGCAGCUCACUAAAUUGUAACUGACACUGAGGCACGAAAGCGUGGGGAUCAAACAGG